Molecule: long non-coding RNA, 420 nt
Organism: Mercenaria mercenaria
Lineage: Eukaryota; Metazoa; Mollusca; Bivalvia; Venerida; Veneridae
Exons: 3
Source: RefSeq, a predicted model, not a curated record
UAUCUCUGAUCACAGAUUUAAAUAAGAGCUUUUCUCUCACGGAGUUGCUCUCAGUUAUUGUUUUGAAGGCUUCUCUAACAGACGACAAUUUGAAACAUGAAGGUUGUCAUCAUUUGCGCCGUCAUCUGUGCCUAUCUUGCCGUUGUGACGAACAGCGCCAAGCAGGCGUGCACCACGACCGACCAAUGUACCUGCGCACAAGGCCAGUUUCCAGACUGCCACAAGGAUGUAUGCCACUGCCAUCAUCACCAGGGGUGCACUAACCACUGCCGAGACUUCAGUUGCCCGGAUACCCAACAUGCGCACUGUAACAAAAACGCCACAUGUAUCUGUCAAUAAAUCAGGCUGGUACCACUUGCAGUUGCAGGAUUCUGUAUUGAAUAUUAUAUCCUAAAAUACAGAAAUAAAAUAUUGAAAUAA